RNAcentral lists this ribosomal RNA (201 nucleotides) under Clostridioides difficile. RNAcentral describes it as "partial 16S ribosomal RNA". It matches the Rfam family "Bacterial small subunit ribosomal RNA", at positions 1 to 207 of the family's 1533-position model. Lineage: Bacteria; Bacillati; Bacillota; Clostridia; Peptostreptococcales; Peptostreptococcaceae. The record is from RNAcentral.
UUUUAUUUGAGAGUUUGAUCCUGGCUCAGGAUGAACGCUGGCGGCGUGCCUAACACAUGCAAGUUGAGCGAUUUACUUCGUAAAGAGCGGCGGACGGGUGAGUAACGCGUGGGUAACCUACCCUGUACACACGGAUAACAUACCGAAAGGUAUGCUAAUACGGGAUAAUAUAUUUGAGAGGCAUCUCUUGAAUAUCAAAGG